Molecule: unclassified non-coding RNA, 738 nt
Filed under: Zea mays
Lineage: Eukaryota; Viridiplantae; Streptophyta; Magnoliopsida; Poales; Poaceae
Description: misc RNA Zm00001eb221370
Source: RNAcentral
UUUGGAUUCAGUCCACGAUGCCUACAGGAAAAAAUGUAAAUUCUUAAAUUCUCCUUGUGGUUUCUGUUGGGUUUUAAUUCUAGCCUCACCCAAAUUGCUUAGGACUAAAAGGCUUUGUUGUUGUUGUUGUUAAAUUGUACAAUGCACAGCUAUCAACUUGCCAAUAUGAAGUUAAAUAUAAACAGGUACAGCAAAACAAUGUCAUUUAAAAGCCAGAAAAAAAUAAUAAACUAAGUUCAAAAAUUAAUGCAAGCAAACAAGACAAGAGAAGUGACGACCCAUUCUAGCUACAGCAGCACAGUAGAUACUUCUCGCCAGUAACACGUCAUACUUUUGGGAGAGAUCAGCAUUCAGAUUUCUAAAAACAAACACAACACCAGAAACCAGCUAACAUAUGUUCAUAUUUUGGUUUCUUUCAAGCAGAACCAUGGAUUCAUGUCUCAGGAAAAGGAACGGUUUUAUGCAAAUUUGCUUUCGAUUGGACACGGCACUAGGCAAAUAUCUCCUAUAUUAUGAAAUGACAUUCGUUCAUCUAGUAGCAACUGGCCUACGAAGCCAGUUCGGAUACCAAAGAAAUAUCACCAAUGGAGUGCACUAUAAAUGGAAUCACGAUCUUUUGUCGAACAAUGAAAGACAACCAAUAAGUGUUUCAUUAAUAGGUACUGAGAAUUUGAAGCAUGCUCAGUCCAAGAAUUUAACAUGCAACUCAAAUCACCUUGGGAUCCUUAAUCAUUUCAA